This 469-nucleotide ribosomal RNA is filed under the name uncultured Ambispora. Its description in RNAcentral is "SSU rRNA". It matches the Rfam family "Eukaryotic small subunit ribosomal RNA", at positions 569 to 1039 of the family's 1831-position model. The record is from RNAcentral. Lineage: Eukaryota; Fungi; Glomeromycota; Glomeromycetes; Archaeosporales; Ambisporaceae.
AGCAGCCGCGGUAAUUCCAGCUCCAAUAGCGUAUAUUAAAGUUGUUGCAGUUAAAAAGCUCGUAGUUGAAUUUUGGGUCUGGCCGGGCGGUCCGCCCUCUGGGUGAGCACUGUUCCGACGCCGGGCCUAUCCUUCUGGUGAGUCGGCAUGUCCUUUAUUGGGUGUGUCGGGGAACCAGGACCAUUACCUUGAAAAAAUUAGAGUGUUCAAAGCAGGCGUAUGCUCGGAUACAUUAGCAUGGAAUAAUGAAAUAGGACGCGUGGUGCUAUUUUGUUGGUUUCUAGAACCGCCGUAAUGAUUAAUAGGGAUAGUUGGGGGCAUUAGUAUUCAAUUGUCAGAGGUGAAAUUCUUGGAUUUAUUGAAGACUAACUUCUGCGAAAGCAUUUGCCAAGGAUGUUUUCAUUAAUCAAGAACGAAAGUUAGGGGAUCGAAGACGAUCAGAUACCGUCGUAGUCUUAACCAUAAACUA